Molecule: ribosomal RNA, 460 nt
Filed under: uncultured bacterium
Lineage: Bacteria
Description: partial 16S ribosomal RNA
Rfam family: Bacterial small subunit ribosomal RNA
Source: RNAcentral
CCUACGGGCGGCAGCAGUGAGGAAUAUUGGUCAAUGGCCGGAAGUCUGAACCAGCCAAGCCGCGUGAGGGAGGAAGGCGCAGAGCGUCGCAGACCUCUUUUGCCGGGGGACAAAAGGCCGGACGGGUCCGGUUCUGAGGGUACCCGGCGAAAAAGCAUCGGCUAACUCCGUGCCAGCAGCCGCGGUAAUACGGAGGUUGCGAGCGUUAUCCGGAUUUAUUGGGUUUAAAGGGAGAGUAGGUGGAUUGUUAAGUCAGUUGGGAAAGUUUGCGGCUCAACCGUAAAAUUGCAGUUGAAACUGGCAGUCUUGAGUGCAGUAGAGGUGGGCGGAAUUCGUGGUGUAGCGGUGAAAUGCUUAGAUAUCACGAAGAACUCCGAUUGCGAAGGCAGCUCACUGGACUGCAACUGACACUGAGGCGCGAAAGUGUGGGUAUCAAACAGGAUUAGAUACCCCAGUAGUC